Oncorhynchus gorbuscha (pink salmon) is the source of this 3610-nucleotide long non-coding RNA. RefSeq lists it as uncharacterized. The transcript has 2 exons. The record is from RefSeq and is a predicted model, not a curated record. Lineage: Eukaryota; Metazoa; Chordata; Actinopteri; Salmoniformes; Salmonidae.
UACAAGACACAGGGAAGGUCAGUCAACUCUAAAGCUAACCAUCCAUUAUUCCAAUGUCAUGGCCUAUCACAUAUUUUAUUAUGACAUCCUUGGUUAUUCUCAAACUGAUAUUUCAAACUCGUCAAACAUGCUAUUAGACCAUUUUAAAAGGGGGUUUUCCCCUUGGUCCAACAGGAGUGGUUGCUGUGCCACCAACUACUCUUGCCUCUUUCUCCUGGACAACAUGGACACACAGCAGCAUGAGGAUGUUGGUGACCUUGCCGAACGGUAGGCCCAGAGCGAUGACCUCUGUCUCUGACACCUCGCUGGGCAACUUCCUGAUGUGGAGCACGCGGGAAGGGGGACUCUCCAUCCUGUCCUCCACUCUCAGUUUUUUACUGCUGUCAUUGCCGUUAGCUGUGAAAUCAAGCGUCAUGCAUGAAUAUAUCGCAUCAGCUGUCCUCUCAGCUGUUAAAAUGUGUCAAGGACCAUUGACUGUGGAUAUGUUAGAAUGUGAAUUGCUUUACUUUUCUGUAUGACUGAAUGGGAGGAAAAUGAGCUCACCAGUCACAGAGUUAGGGCUGGUGCUGUAGAGACUCAAAUCAUCUGAGCCUCUCUGUAAAAUAUGAAUGUAUACAUAAAUGAAUUUGGUACAUCGUUUCCCAAUUAAUGAAAUGAUCCUGAAAAGUCAGUUGCGAAAGUGCAAACUUACCUUCAUGCCAACUGCAACAUCACUGACAAUGCUGAAAAAGGCAGGGGAAAUAUGAAUGUCAGUUGUGCACACAAAUCAGUGCAAGCAACGUAUAAUUCAUUAAUGGAAGCAAAAAUGUAUGGUGUCAAUUAACAAUCAAGUUAGGCGUAGCUAGCAAGCUAACGUUAGCUAUCUUAACGUUACCAGUUUGCUAACGUUAACCACAAGGUUAAGAACUACCAGUGUGAGUGUAGUUGUCUUGCAAUUUCAUUUCGUUAAAAUGUGUAGCUAACAAUUCUUCAUCAUACAUUUUGUUUGACGUGAAAGCUCAUUGCAAAUUGUAGCGACGUUAGUACAUUCGGGUAUCAGACCAGGUCAGCCAAUUUCGUUAGCAGUAACGUUAGCUACUAACGAUCGCUGGUUACGGUAACGUUAGUUACUAAUGGUCGCUAGUUACCGUAACGUUAGUUACUAAUGGUCGCUAGUUACCGUAACGUUAGUUACUAAUGGUCGCUAGUUACCGUAACGUUAGUUACUAAUGGUCGCUAGUUACCGUAACGUUAGUUACUAAUGGUCGCUAGUUACCGUAACGUUAGUUACUAAUGGUCGCUAGUUAACGUAACGUUAGUUACUAAUGGUCGCUUGUUACCGUAACGUUAUCUGAUGGCUACACUAAUGUCUACCAAACUCAUCCGAAGAAACGAAGGAAAUGUGUCCGACCAACGCGUAGGGGUACGUGCGCGCUCAACUAACCAAAACGCGACAUUGAAUGCUUAACAGUAGUUAACGAGCUUAACGAAAUUGUAGAAAUAUUGGCGCAGCAUAAUCUCGGUUUAACACAACUCUUAAAUAGAUAUACAGAUUAAUGUAUUGACUGGUGUAUCUUAAUAAACUAGAUAUCUACGUUAGCUAGUUUCGUAGCAAGAUGUACGCUGUGAAAUUAUACGGUUGUACUAGCUAGCUAAUGCAAUGCUAAGAAGAUGGGUGGCAAGCGGGCCACCAUCUCAGAACGAAUUCAAACGUGGCCGGCCCAAUAAGCUACCGUUAGCUUUUAGCGUUAUUAAAUAGAUACGUCGAUAGUUACAUUAAAACCUUUCGCGAAUAUAAUUAACCACAACAAUCAACGCGCACGCUUCAGCAAACGUGAACACAUACCUUUCCAUUGCCGGAGGGUGUCUAAUUUCGCGUUUUUAUUUAUUCGUUAAAUCUCAGCUCUACUCCGACACACAACACCACACGACUGCAAAAUGGUUGCAAUUUCCCAAAUGCUCUCAUGAAGUGCGCCGAGUAACGGAAAAUGACGAACAAAGACGAUUAUCUACAGACAGUUCAUUGAUUAUCAGUUAUAAAGACAUACUUAAUCGAAAUAUGAGCUUAGCCACGUGUUAUUGUUUGCUACUGAAAUUAUUAACUUUAAAAUAUUGUUAUUAAACAAAGCUUUCCCGCAGUUACAUUUAUUGUCAUUUUAAGGUCAAUCAUAGCUUCAGCAAACAACUCAAUGACAAGCACCUGGACCUCACUACCUAUGCUUGACUAAUGCAACUUCAUAUAUUUCAUCAAUUUAUAGCAAAAAUAACAACAACUAUUUGGUUUACAUUGUCUUGCCAUGGGGUCUCUCACCACCCCAGGCAUAGACCACAAUGGUUAUGGCACAUCCUGUGUGUCAUUAUACCGUUAUUGAGUUCCAACUUUCAUUGCAAUGGGGCCCAGUUAAAAAGGGAACAGAGAGCAUGCAACCCCUUUUGUUUCUGAAUCUGCUAUUGAAAGGACUUUAGGGUAUUAUAUUUCACAAACACCAACAAACACACAUACUACUACGCCCCCAUGCAAUCUGUCACUUGUGAGGUUUUAAGGCUGAGAGUUGUAUGACAUAGGCCUGGAUUGAAGAAGUUUCCACUCAACAAGGAAUUUGGCUGGAUUCAUAGGAAUGCAUUGAUUAUCAGUAUUUUUAGUAAUCAAUGUCUUUCUGUUGUAUUGCCAAGAUACUGAAAUUACACCCUGAGAUUGAUCAUACUCAAGGAAAUUAUAUUGAUAUUGGGAUCUAAAAACAUAAAAAAUAUAUUACAUAAAAUAACCAAAUAAAAUGCUUAUGAAACUCGUAAUUUCCAAACCAGGUUUAUUUUCUUUUCAUGACCUGGACCAUUUUAAUAUUUUAUCCAAAAUUCAAUUUCCUCAGUUUUCACACUUUCUUUUACAGCUUUCCCUCAUUUAUUGUCUCUCAUAACCACAAUGUCUUUAUGUUUUAUUGGCUUCCCAGCACACCUCAGAGGGCACUGCUGAAGAUGAAUCCUUUAUCGAGGGAAGAUGAACUGGACUGGAGAAUGUCAAGUGGAUUAAUGUAAUAAACCUUGACUGCAGAGAAUUCCCAGACCUAUUAAUGCUUUACGUCACUGUAUGUUUAAGUGACACACUUAGUGCAGUGUAUGACACAGUUUUUUAUUUUACCGGAAAACGGCCAAUUCAAUCCCCACAAAGGAAAGAAUAUAGAGUGAUUUGUUAUGGCUUUGUAUGUUGAAGUUGGGACUGUUGUGUUUCAUCUAGCCUAUAAUCUUUGAGAUAUUACAUUUUCAGUGAGAACUGGGGAAACUGCACUGGUUUGUCUUUUAGUGAUGUGAGUAUAUGAUUAGAUAGCUUUUACAUGAAUCAAUGUGGAGCUGUUCAUCCAGGCAGUUUCUCUAUCCAAUUAAAGAAACCCCCUGUCCACGGAAGCUGUUUUAAAAUUAACCCUUUACCCAUUAAGUCAUAAUUUACAAACCCCUGGAAUUGAUUACCAAAUUAAAGCAUUGAUUUAGGCUCUCAGUUUGGUCAUUAUUAAUUUCUGAUCUGGGUAUGUUUGAUUCUGUCUCCUGCCUAAAUAAUAACACUGGUUUAUUUCAAUCUGUCUUACUUUUUACUGAACUUAAGUUGUUUUUCAUUAAAACAAUUUAAAAUCCAUUUCCA